CAGAGGGUGAAAGAUCUUGCUUUUACUAUUUGGAGGUUGAUUUACCAUGAAAAGAAACAACAUCGUCAAAUGAUAACUGGGGAUUAUAAGAAGAGUUGCAAACAACCAGUAGAAGAAAAGAAGAAUCAAUUAUACCUUAUAGAGUUUGUGUCUCAGGUAACUCAGCACUGCUUCUUUUUGGAAGGUGGGGAUCUGAUUCUGUGAAUUGUCAUCCGAGGCAUUUUCUAAAGUCUGAUUACUGAACCAUCUCUUAGGUGUUGAGAACCAAAAUAUUUAGAGCUCUUCUUUAAAAUCUUGUUAAUAUUCUCUGUUUUCUGACUUGCAGCAAGUAGCAAAUAAAGUCAGUGAAAUUUUCUUGUAAUUGAUGUAAUAUGCUCCAUGUGGUUAACACAGCUAAGCAGGUGGGCAUCCUCCUUUUGUGUCAGCCAUAUCUUCCAAACAAUCUCCAAACAAAAUAUAUGAUGAAUUAUGUUGUGAGGAGAAGUGUCUGCCAAGGCACCCUGGGAUUACUGUUUGAGCUGGUUUUAGUUAACAUCUUCACUAAUGAUCUGGAAGAGGGACUAAGCUGCCCAUUAAUUAAACUGUCAGAUAUCACACAGAAAUAGUUUUAGGAUCCUAGCUCAACUGGAAGAUAUGUAGACUGAAAGUAAAGACUGCUAUUAAGAAAAUAAGAAUAAUUUGGGGAAAUACCAGUUUCUUUUUGCCUGGAGUGGCAUCUGAAUUGUGAACUUUGUAUCACCUGUGUGUUCAAACUGUUUGUUUUUCAGCUAAGCAUUCAUCAGUUUGGGAGAAGUAAAAGUUAUGCAAGAUAGGGUUUUCUUGCCUUUAGCUGAAUGUUUUGGUUUCUUACCAGGUCAUCAAACUUGCCUAGCUAUAAAAUUUGCUGAAAAUUAUGGUUGUAUUUUAUUUUUUUUUCUUGUUCUCAUUAAUCAUACUUUAAUUCCAUACUGAUCUAAUGUUGUAUUAUCAGUUUCGUGAUUUUUAUUAAGUUUCGUAUCAGUCCAUCCAAUCACCAAUGUAGUUCAAUUCCCCUUUUACAUUUAUUUUGAAAAGUAAAAUGAAAUGUAUUUGUUUUUUUUUAUGUAAGACCAUUUAAGGUACACAGAAAUAUAGCUAUCAUCAGCAGCUCUAAAAAUCAAGCAUUUAAAAUCAAAAAACAUAGAAUACAAAUCUGCUUGGUUUUUAAGAAUUUGUGAAUGUACUUUUUGUAUAAUGUUCUGUAUAAACUGUGUAUAUGUAGAGUGUAUUCCCUGCUCGUGUCAGAGAGACAGAACUGCCCUGGCCGUAGUGAUCUGGACUGUAUGCUUCUCCUUUGAGAAGUCAGUUGUUUUUGUGAAUUGGGAAUAAACCCACACAGCGUAAGUUAUGUUGGAAAUAAGCUGUGUAUCUGU
Long non-coding RNA from Gallus gallus (chicken), 1391 nucleotides. Lineage: Eukaryota; Metazoa; Chordata; Aves; Galliformes; Phasianidae. The record is from Ensembl.